This 385-nucleotide long non-coding RNA is filed under the name Marmota monax (woodchuck). Lineage: Eukaryota; Metazoa; Chordata; Mammalia; Rodentia; Sciuridae. The record is from RNAcentral.
AAUUUCUACUCUGACCUUGCCUCGGCCUGCUUCUUUGGUGUUAUUCUUCAACAUUGGGGAAGCAAGAACUCGUCACCGGUCAACAGCGGUAACAUAUUGGAGGUCCCAGACCGAGAUUCUACACCGAGACCACCCAUCACUCAAAUGGCCCUCCAGCCUAUUACUUCUCAAUCAGACUUCUAUCAUGGACCACUCGAUAGACCCGAUUUUUAAAGGGGGACUCCAAACUGCUUGCCCCACAUCGUCCCUUUUCAGCCUGAAGAAGCCAGAAAGAUCUUCUUCGCCCCCCUUCCUUACAGCAGUAAGGAGUUCCCAACUUAGAGGGGGGAAUGAAGCCAGAUUUAAAGUUAGGUAGUCAGUGUAGUUAGGUAAAUCGGGUCUAAUA